Molecule: long non-coding RNA, 353 nt
Filed under: Olea europaea (common olive)
Lineage: Eukaryota; Viridiplantae; Streptophyta; Magnoliopsida; Lamiales; Oleaceae
Description: long non-coding RNA (OEUR_LNC014159)
Source: RNAcentral
UUACAUUCGUUUGAUUAUUUGAUACUAAAAUGUACUCAUUAUACUUAUGCUUUGAUUCAGGUUGUAUUUUGAUAGAAAAUGUGAAAUUUAGAAGAAAAGAGUGAGAAAUGACCAAAAUGGAAGAAAGUGAAAGUUCAGGGACCAAGUUGUAAACAAUCUAAAGAUGAGACCGGCGAUGGAAUGAUGAUUCGAGAAAGCUAGGAGUCCAUUGAAUGCAAUUAGAAGUCAAAAGAAGUUAAAUAUGACCAUAAUAUUUUCACAAAUCAAAUUACAAUCGCAUAAGGAUUUUUCAGAUUUUCAGCCAGAAAUUGAGAUCAACUUUUGACCUAGUAAACGUUCGAAUUUGGAAAGAG